CGUACUUGUACUGAUUGAGAUUUUAACACGAAGUGAGUGGCGAACGGGUGAGUAACACGUGGGUAACCUGCCCAGAAGUAGGGGAUAACACCUGGAAACAGAUGCUAAUACCGUAUAACAGAGAAAACCGCAUGGUUUUCUUUUAAAAGAUGGCUCUGCUAUCACUUCUGGAUGGACCCGCGGCGUAUUAGCUAGUUGGUGAGGUAAAGGCUCACCAAGGCAGUGAUACGUAGCCGACCUGAGAGGGUAAUCGGCCACAUUGGGACUGAGACACGGCCCAGACUCCUACGGGAGGCAGCAGUAGGGAAUCUUCCACAAUGGACGCAAGUCUGAUGGAGCAACGCCGCGUGAGUGAAGAAGGGUUUCGGCUCGUAAAGCUCUGUUGUUAAAGAAGAACGUGGGUAAGAGUAACUGUUUACCCAGUGACGGUAUUUAACCAGAAAGCCACGGCUAACUACGUGCCAGCAGCCGCGGUAAUACGUAGGUGGCAAGCGUUAUCCGGAUUUAUUGGGCGUAAAGCGAGCGCAGGCGGUCUUUUAAGUCUAAUGUGAAAGCCUUCGGCUCAACCGAAGAAGUGCAUUGGAAACUGGGAGACUUGAGUGCAGAAGAGGACAGUGGAACUCCAUGUGUAGCGGUGAAAUGCGUAGAUAUAUGGAAGAACACCAGUGGCGAAGGCGGCUGUCUGGUCUGCAACUGACGCUGAGGCUCGAAAGCAUGGGUAGCGAACAGGAUUAGAUACCCUGGUAGUCCAUGCCGUAAACGAUGAUUACUAAGUGUUGGAGGGUUUCCGCCCUUCAGUGCUGCAGCUAACGCAUUAAGUAAUCCGCCUGGGGAGUACGACCGCAAGGUUGAAACUCAAAAGAAUUGACGGGGGCCCGCACAAGCGGUGGAGCAUGUGGUUUAAUUCGAAGCUACGCGAAGAACCUUACCAGGUCUUGACAUCUUCUGACAGUCUAAGAGAUUAGAGGUUCCCUUCGGGGACAGAAUGACAGGUGGUGCAUGGUUGUCGUCAGCUCCUGUCCUGGAAAUGUUGGGGUUAAGU
This 1042-nucleotide ribosomal RNA is filed under the name Pediococcus pentosaceus. RNAcentral describes it as "bacterial SSU rRNA". It matches the Rfam family "Bacterial small subunit ribosomal RNA", at positions 63 to 1085 of the family's 1533-position model. The record is from RNAcentral. Lineage: Bacteria; Bacillati; Bacillota; Bacilli; Lactobacillales; Lactobacillaceae.